CCUUGUGGAGGAGGACGCCGAAGGUGGGGCUAAUGACUGGGGUGAAGUCGUAACAAGGUAGCCGUACCGGAAGGUGCGGCUGGAUCACCUCCUAACAGGGAGACAACAAAAUGUUUAAUAUUAUUAUUUUGUCACCUUAGGUCGAUCGGUAUCUCACGUUCUUAAUUUUUUGAGAAUUUCAUUUCCUAAGUUUUUCUAGGUCACACCCAUUAUUUUUCCUGGGCCAUUAGCUCAGGUGGUUAGAGCGCACCCCUGAUAAGGGUGAGGUCCCUGGUUCAAGUCCAGGAUGGCCCAUAUCUCUAUGUUGGGGGUAUAGCUCAGUUGGUAGAGCGCCUGCUUUGCAAGCAGGAUGUCAGCGGUUCGAGUCCGCUUACCUCCACUGAUUACCACCUCUUCCAUAACCGGUAGAAAGGAAAUGUUUUGAGUUGUGAUCAUUAUUCUGAACGAAUCUAGCUUCCUAAUGAAAUCAUUAAGAUGCUGGACUCAUUGAAUUAAUUUCAUUGUUUUCAGAGAACCUUGACAACUGCAUAGAUUUUUUUAAAGACAAUAAGCAUCUUUAAUGAUGCAGAUUUAUUAUUUGUGCGAAUGCAUUAAUAACAAUUCUAUUAAGCUGAUGCUUCAAUUUUUGAAGUUAUUGGUCAAGCUACAAAGGGCUCACGGAGGAUACCUAGGCACACAGAGGCG
Molecule: unclassified non-coding RNA, 684 nt
Filed under: uncultured Prochlorococcus sp.
Lineage: Bacteria; Bacillati; Cyanobacteriota; Cyanophyceae; Synechococcales; Prochlorococcaceae
Description: partial may contain 16S ribosomal RNA, 16S-23S ribosomal RNA intergenic spacer, and 23S ribosomal RNA
Rfam family: Bacterial small subunit ribosomal RNA (bases 1-95)
Source: RNAcentral